This is a non-coding RNA of Triticum urartu, 107 nucleotides long. The record is from Rfam. NCBI's taxonomy places the organism in Eukaryota, Viridiplantae, Streptophyta, Magnoliopsida, Poales, Poaceae.
AACAUACUCCCUCCGUUCGGAAAUACUUGUCUUAGAAAUGGUUGCAUCUAGAUUUUCUAGAUGCAACCAUUUCUAAGACAAGUAUUUCCGAACGGAGGGAGUAUAAU